RNAcentral lists this ribosomal RNA (424 nucleotides) under uncultured archaeon. RNAcentral describes it as "partial 16S ribosomal RNA". It matches the Rfam family "Archaeal small subunit ribosomal RNA", at positions 323 to 746 of the family's 1478-position model. The record is from RNAcentral.
CUACGGGGGGCAGCAGCUAGGAAUUUUCUGCAAUGUACGAAAGUAUGACAGAGCGAGCCAGAGUGCUUUUCUAUAUUUGAAAAGCUUUUGUGAGGUGUAAAAAGUCUCACGAAUAAGGACCGGGCAAGACUGGUGCCAGCCGCCGCGGUAAUACCAGCGGUCCAAGUCGCAGCCACUUUUAUUGGGUCUAAAACAUCCGUAGCUAGUCUUGUAAGUUUCUUGUGAAAUCUGGCAUCUUAAGUGUCAGGCUUGCAAGAAAUACUGCAGGGCUUGAGACCGGGAGACGUGAUGAGUACAACUAGGGUAGCGGUAAAAUGCGUUGAUCCUUGUUGGACUAACAACAGCGAAGGCACGUCACGAGAACGGAUCUGACAGUGAGGGAUGAAGGCUAGGGGCGCAAAAUGGAUUAGAUACCCGUGUAGUC